ACCCAGGUGGCUCAGUGGGUUGAGCAUCUGACUCUUGAUCUCAGUGUAGGUCUUGAUCUUAGGGUCAUGGGUUCAAGCCCCAUUUUGGGUU
RNAcentral lists this transfer RNA (91 nucleotides) under Mustela putorius furo (domestic ferret). It matches the Rfam family "tRNA". From Rfam's summary of the family: Transfer RNA (tRNA) molecules are approximately 80 nucleotides in length. The record is from Rfam by way of RNAcentral. Lineage: Eukaryota; Metazoa; Chordata; Mammalia; Carnivora; Mustelidae.